RNAcentral lists this ribosomal RNA (421 nucleotides) under uncultured Methanospirillum sp. Its description in RNAcentral is "bacterial SSU rRNA". It matches the Rfam family "Archaeal small subunit ribosomal RNA", at positions 322 to 747 of the family's 1478-position model. Lineage: Archaea; Methanobacteriati; Methanobacteriota; Methanomicrobia; Methanomicrobiales; Methanospirillaceae. The record is from RNAcentral.
CCUAUGGGGGGCAGCAGGCGCGAAAACUUUACAAUGCGGGCAACCGUGAUAAGGAAACCCCGAGUGCCAGCACAGGCUGGCUGUCCACCAGUGUAAACAACUGGUGAAGAAAGGGCCGGGCAAGACCGGUGCCAGCCGCCGCGGUAAUACCGGCGGCUCGAGUGGUGGCCGCUUUUACUGGGCUUAAAGGGUCCGUAGCUUGAUCCAUGGGUCCCUUGAGAAAUCCAUCAGCUUAACUGCUGGGCGUUCAGGGGAAACUGUGGUUCUAGGGACCGGGAGAGGUAAGAGGUACUGCCGGGGUAGGAGUGAAAUCCUGUAAUCCCGGUGGGACGACCUAUAGCGAAGGCAUCUUACCAGAACGGCUCCGACAGUGAGGGACGAAAGCUGGGGGAGCAAACCGGAUUAGAUACCCCUGUAGUCC